Bison bison bison is the source of this 107-nucleotide small nuclear RNA. Lineage: Eukaryota; Metazoa; Chordata; Mammalia; Artiodactyla; Bovidae. The record is from Ensembl.
GUGCUCAUUUUGGCAGCACGUACUCUGAGAGUGGAAUGAUACAGAGAAGAUUAGCAUGGCCCCUGUGCAAGGAUGGCACACACAUUUCUGAAGUGUUCCAUAUUUUU